GGCCGUGUGGCGCAAUGGCACCGCGUCUGACUACGAUUAUCAAAAUCUGAAGGGUCAUCCGAGGAGUUAAAUCGUGUUUAAUCAGAAGAUUGCAGGUUCGAUCCCUGCCUCGGUCA
Non-coding RNA from Hirsutella rhossiliensis, 116 nucleotides. NCBI's taxonomy places the organism in Eukaryota, Fungi, Ascomycota, Sordariomycetes, Hypocreales, Ophiocordycipitaceae. The record is from the annotation of a RefSeq genome assembly.